GAUGAACGCUGGCGGCGUGCUUAACACAUGCAAGUCGAACGAAGCACCUCUCCCGAAGAUUGACACAGCUUGCUGUAGAUUGAUUCAUUUGAGGUGACUGAGUGGCGGACGGGUGAGUAACGCGUGGGUAACCUGCCUCAUAGAGGGGGACAACAGUUGGAAGCGACUGCUAAUACCGCAUAGUAAGAAGAAUUCGCAUGUUUUCUUCUUGAAAGAUUUAUCGCUAUGAGAUGGACCCGCGUCUGAUUAGCUAGUUGGUAAGGUAACGGCUUACCAAGGCGACGAUCAGUAGCCGGCUUGAGAGAGUGAACGGCCACAUUGGGACUGAGACACGGCCCAAACUCCUACGGGAGGCAGCAGUGGGGAAUAUUGCACAAUGGGGGAAACCCUGAUGCAGCGACGCCGCGUGAGUGAAGAAGUAUUUCGGUAUGUAAAGCUCUAUCAGCAGGGAAGAUAAUGACGGUACCUGACUAAGAAGCCCCGGCUAACUACGUG
RNAcentral lists this ribosomal RNA (495 nucleotides) under uncultured bacterium. RNAcentral's name for it is "partial 16S ribosomal RNA". It matches the Rfam family "Bacterial small subunit ribosomal RNA", at positions 28 to 507 of the family's 1533-position model. The record is from RNAcentral.